AGUUAUAAAGUCUAAUGAUAGACAAUAUGCUUUGAAAGCAUGUCAAAGGAGUUAAAAUCCCCUAAUAACUU
This 71-nucleotide transfer RNA is filed under the name Rugitermes sp. Its description in RNAcentral is "tRNA-Ser". It matches the Rfam family "tRNA". From Rfam's summary of the family: Transfer RNA (tRNA) molecules are approximately 80 nucleotides in length. Lineage: Eukaryota; Metazoa; Arthropoda; Insecta; Blattodea; Kalotermitidae. The record is from RNAcentral.